CUAGAGGCCUCACAUCACAAUCCACUCUAAGCAAUAUAUGCCAUUGUUUUCACUAAGCACUUACACUGGUUUGUGUUACCUUCAAAACCUUCCUUUGUUGGUGUUUGGAAUCUUCACUAUUUAUCUUCUCAAUCACGUCACAUCUUAGCAGUCUGUGCAUAUACCAUGAGGCUCCCUGUCCAUACACUUCACAUCCCCCUUGCUCCCUCUUGUUUCAAGUCCCCUUCAUAACCUUUAGAUUAUAAGAUCACAAGCCAUUUACUUAACAUGUUGUAUUAAAAGACUGUAAACUCCAUAUCUCAGCAAGGUGCUCUUCC
Molecule: non-coding RNA, 317 nt
Organism: Pelobates cultripes (western spadefoot toad)
Lineage: Eukaryota; Metazoa; Chordata; Amphibia; Anura; Pelobatidae
Source: the annotation of a GenBank genome assembly